GAGGUUGUGGCUCAGCGGUAGCACUCGCCUUGCACGAGUGAGGCGCUGGGUUCGAUCCUCAGCACCACA
This 69-nucleotide transfer RNA is filed under the name Marmota monax (woodchuck). RNAcentral describes it as "tRNA.Ala". Lineage: Eukaryota; Metazoa; Chordata; Mammalia; Rodentia; Sciuridae. The record is from RNAcentral.